GCGAACAAGUACCGCGAGGGAAAGAUGAAAAGGACUUUGAAAAGAGAGUCAAAGAGUGCUUGAAAUUGUCAGGAAGGAAGCGGAUGGGGGCCGGCGAUACGCCCCGGUCAGAUGUGGAACGGCGAGAGUCGGUCCGCUGAUCGGCUCGGGGCGUGGACUGACGCGGGUCGUGGCGGCGGCCCAAGCCCGGGCCUUUGAUACGCCUGUGGAGACGUCGUCGCCUCGAUCGUGGG
This 233-nucleotide non-coding RNA is filed under the name Gossypium arboreum. Its description in RNAcentral is "Eukaryotic large subunit ribosomal RNA". It matches the Rfam family "Eukaryotic large subunit ribosomal RNA", at positions 340 to 572 of the family's 3401-position model. Lineage: Eukaryota; Viridiplantae; Streptophyta; Magnoliopsida; Malvales; Malvaceae. The record is from Rfam by way of RNAcentral.